GAUGAACGCUGGCGGCGUGCCUAAUACAUGCAAGUCGAGCGAACAGACGAGGAGCUUGCUCCUCUGACGUUAGCGGCGGACGGGUGAGUAACACGUGGAUAACCUACCUAUAAGACUGGUAAACUUAGGGAAACCGGGGUUAAAACCGGGAAAAAUUCUUGAUCCCAGGGGUGAAUUGGUAAAGACCGGUUUUCUGGCAUCUACUGGCGGAUUCGCGGCGCAUUUGCUAGUUGGUUAGGUAACGGCUUAUCAAGGCGACGAGGGGUAGCCGAACUGAGAGGGUGAUCGGCCACACUGGAACUGAGACACGGUCCAGACUCCUACGGGAGGCAGCAGUAGGGAAUCUUCCGCAAUGGUCGAAAGCCUGACGGAGCAACGCCGCGUGAGUGAUGAAGGUCUUCGGAUCGUAAAACUCUGUUAUUAGGGAAGAACAAAUGUGUAAGUAACUAUGCACGUCUUGACGGUACCUAAUCAGAAAGCCACGGCUAACUACGUG
This 496-nucleotide ribosomal RNA is filed under the name uncultured bacterium. RNAcentral's name for it is "partial 16S ribosomal RNA". It matches the Rfam family "Bacterial small subunit ribosomal RNA", at positions 28 to 507 of the family's 1533-position model. The record is from RNAcentral.